AUCACCAAGGCAACGAUGCGUACCCGACCUGAGAGGGUGAUCGGCCACACUGGGACUGAGACACGGCCCACACUCCUACGGGAGGCAGCAGUAGGGAAUCUUCCGCAAUGGACGAAAGUCUGACGGAGCAACGCCGCGUGAGUGAUGAAGGUUUUCGGAUCGUAAAUCUCUGUUGUUAGGAAAGAACAAGUACCGUUCGAAUAGGGCGGUACCUUGACGGUACCUAACCAGAAAGCCACGGCUAACUACGUGCCAGCAGCCGCGGUAAUACGUAGGUGGCAAGCGUUGUCCGGAAUUAUUGGGCGUAAAGGGCUCGCAGGCGGUUUCUUAAGUUUGAUGUGAAAGCCCCCGGCUCACCCGGGGAGGGUCAUUGGAAACUGGGGAACUUGAGUGCAGAAGAGGAGAGUGGAAUUCCACGUGUAGCGGUGAAAUGCGUAGAGAUGUGGAGGAACACCAGUGGCGAAGGCGACUCUCUGGUCUGUAACUGACGCUGAGGAGCGAAAGCGUGGGGAGCGAACAGGAUUAGAUACCCUGGUAGUCCACGCCGUAAACGAUGAGUGCUAAGUGUUAGGGGGUUUCCGCCCCUUAGUGCUGCAGCUAACGCAUUAAGCACUCCGCCUGGGGAGUACGGUCGCAAGACUGAAACUCAAAGGAAUUGACGGGGGCCCGCACAAGCGGUGGAGCAUGUGGUUUAAUUCGAAGCAACGCGAAGAACCUUACCAGGUCUUGACAUCCUCUGACAAUCCUAGAGAUAGGACGUCCCCUUCGGGGGCAGAGUGACAGGUGGUGCAUGGUUGUCGUCAGCUCGUGUCGUGAGAUGUUGGGUUAAGUCCCGCAACGAGCGCAACCCUUGAUCUUAGUUGCCAGCAUUCAGUUGGGCACUCUAAGGUGACUGCCGGUGACAAACCGGAGGAAGGUGGGGAUGACGUCAAAUCAUCAUGCCCCUUAUGACCUGGGCUACACACGUGCUACAAUGGACAGAACAAAGGGCAGCGAAACCGCGAGGUUAAGCCAAUCCCACAAAUCUGUUCUCAGUUCGGAUCGCAGUCUGCAACUCGACUGCGUGAAGCUGGAAUCGCUAGUAAUCGCGGAUCAGCAUGCCGCGGUGAAUACGUUCCCGGGCCUUGUACACACCGCCCGUCACACCACGAGAGUUUGUAACACCCGAAGUCGGUGAGGUAACCUUUUAGGAGCCAGCCGC
Molecule: ribosomal RNA, 1201 nt
Filed under: Bacillus subtilis
Lineage: Bacteria; Bacillati; Bacillota; Bacilli; Caryophanales; Bacillaceae
Description: bacterial SSU rRNA
Rfam family: Bacterial small subunit ribosomal RNA
Source: RNAcentral